This is an unclassified non-coding RNA of Erinaceus europaeus (western European hedgehog), 305 nucleotides long. Its record names the gene 7SK. It matches the Rfam family "7SK RNA". From Rfam's summary of the family: 7SK was discovered as an abundant small nuclear RNA in the mid-70s but a possible function has only recently been suggested. Two independent studies have found that 7SK RNA binds the CDK9/cyclin T complex (known as elongation factor P-TEFb). The record is from Ensembl. Lineage: Eukaryota; Metazoa; Chordata; Mammalia; Eulipotyphla; Erinaceidae.
AGAUGUGAGGGUGAUCUGGCUGUGAAAUCUGUCACCCCCAUUGAUCACCAGGGUUGAUUUGAUUGUUCUGGCUGGCUAGGUGGGCGUCCCCUUCCUCCCUCACCGCUCCAUGUGCAUCCCUCCCGAAACUGCGUGCUCAGUUGAAGAGGAUGACCUUCCCCCAAUAGAGAUGACAGUCUUAGGUCGAGGGUAUAGGAGUAGCUGCGCUCCCCUGCUAGAACCUCCAAACAAGCUCUCAAGUAUCAUUCAAACACCUACAUUGCAAGCACUAUAGAAUAAGUUACACAAGGAUCAUAACUAUCUUC